UACAGAGGCCUCGAGCGUUAGGCGGAAUCACUGGGCUUAAAGCGCGUGUAGGCGGAUGCCUAAGUACCUUGUGAAAUCCCACGGCUCAACCGUGGAACUGCUGGGUAUACUGGGCGUCUUGGGUCAUCUAGGGGCUGCCGGAACAAAUGGUGGAGCGGUGAAAUGCGUAGACAUCAUUUGGAACGCCAACGGCGAAAGCAGGCAGCUGGGGAUGCACCGACGCUGAGACACGAAAGCCAGGGGAGCGAACGGG
RNAcentral lists this ribosomal RNA (253 nucleotides) under uncultured bacterium. RNAcentral's name for it is "partial 16S ribosomal RNA". It matches the Rfam family "Bacterial small subunit ribosomal RNA", at positions 524 to 776 of the family's 1533-position model. The record is from RNAcentral.